This 133-nucleotide transfer RNA is filed under the name Cyanidioschyzon merolae strain 10D. It matches the Rfam family "tRNA". From Rfam's summary of the family: Transfer RNA (tRNA) molecules are approximately 80 nucleotides in length. Their secondary structure includes four short double-helical elements and three loops (D, anti-codon, and T loops). Lineage: Eukaryota; Rhodophyta; Bangiophyceae; Cyanidiales; Cyanidiaceae. The record is from Rfam by way of RNAcentral.
GCAGACGUGACCGAGUGGUUAAGGUGCAUGACUCGAACGCGUUCUGCAGCCAGUGCUGGUAUACAUUGCCUCGCGCUGACGCCUCGGUAUCAUGUGGUGUCUCGCCGCGCAGGUUCGAAUCCUGCCGUCUGCG